Non-coding RNA from Podarcis muralis (Common wall lizard), 3479 nucleotides. The record is from RefSeq and is a predicted model, not a curated record. NCBI's taxonomy places the organism in Eukaryota, Metazoa, Chordata, Lepidosauria, Squamata, Lacertidae.
CGCAUGAGAGAGAGGCCAUUUUCCGCAGAGGGGCCGCUCCGUAGACACGUAUGACGACACUUCCGGGCACUCAGGGCACCAACGGAGGGACCGGGAGAACGACUUGAAAAACGUACGGAGCGCUAAUUAUGUUUAGGAGGGAAGGAAAUCGGAGACUGGCGGGUUUCUGAAUACACUUCCGGUUUUAAACUUGGACUUGUUUUCUGAGGCAAAGGCUUUCAUCAGAGAGUUUCCAGAUUCCUAGAGCGGCGCCGCACGAAGUCCCGAGAGAUGCGGACUUUCGUUUCUGUGCCGGAAGUUAUCUGUAGCCUUCAGCUCCCACUUUAGACGCUUUUCGUCUCUGUAUUCUUUCCCCGCAUAUGACGGCGACCGAAUGGAAACCGGAAUCGAUACCUGAGUGCGACACCUCUUGACGUUUUCAUCUCUAUUGUUGUGGAGGGCCGAGCCAAGCGGGCCGUAGAUCAGCCUUCGCCCGUCUGGAUCCCCUAGAAAUUUCGCACUACAAUUCCCAUCAGCUCCAGCGAGCGCGACAGGAUGGUGCUAGGGCUACUGGGAGUUGUAGUCCAGGCUGGACCGCAGAGGCCUCUGGGAAGGGUGGUGAGGUGUAUCCCCAUCGGGAAAAGCUUGCCUCUGAGCAUGUGCAGAGUAUUUCUCCCUCCACCUCCCUUUUCUGCUGCUCCGUGUCGUUUUCCUCCUCUGCCUGCCACAGUGCUUUGACUUGGAUUUCAACUCACGCCUGGGAUGUGGGAAGGGGAGCCCUUCUCAGCCUUGGGCCACCAGAUGUUCGUGAGCUACGACUCCUAUCAUCCCAGUGGCCAUGCUGGCUAGGAAUGAUGAGAGUUUUAGUCCAACAGCAUCUAACGACCCAAGGUUGAUGCAAUAUUAAAAGAAGAGGAUGCCUAGCCCUAGAGGCAUGUGCAGAGUGCCAUUCGCUCAAUGCCUCCUUUCUUCCUGGACUGCAGCGCGGGAACCGAGAGGAAUUCUGAGGAAUGCAGCUCCGCCUGCACGUCUGCAUGCCUUCCCCUGACUGAAUGCGUGUCAAGCGUCCUGGUAGUGCAGUCCCAGUGCAGUCAGGUAUUCACACAUAAUAUAACCAGCAGCUUGUUGCUCAGACGUUCAAAAGGCAGAGACAUUCCAGGUUUAGGGCGGUAUAUAAAUUCAAUUAAUAAUAAUAAUAAUAACCAAAUUUCCAUAUUGGAACCUUCCACCCACAUCUCUCUGACACCUUCAUUGCAGACAGGCAAGUUCACUUAUAAAAGAGUCCCCUGCCUGCCCCCCACCUCUUCUGAGCUGCCGCCUUGGUGUGUGUGAGAGACAUGGAGCACGUGCAGAAGAGUUAGUUGUCAAAUGCGCUCUUUAUAUGCUCACGGGCACUCUUGCGCCCGUCGCAGUAGAAGCUGCAAAUACGUUCCGGGGCUAAACUUUAGCCUCGACACCCGCUCGCCCCACUCCAAAUGCACGUGCAGUGGCAACGGGUACGUGUCCAGUCUAGCGCCAUCGUCCUGCUUUCGCAUGCCAGGCUUUGCAAGACUCCUAAAUGCGCACGUGCAAACGCAGCCGCUCCCCGAACCUAUUGCUGCUCCAAGCCGGAGAAACAGAAGCUGCAGGGGAACAUCCGAUCCGGGCUUGCAAGAGCAAAAGGCGUCGCUUGGGAGCGCCGUGGGGGCGCUGGAAGUCAGCGCAGAAGAACUGCAAGGCUUUAGUGGGAGCUGCUGCAAUAUAUCGUCAGGGCGGUUCCAUGGUGUAAUGGUUAGCACUCUGGACUCUGAAUCCAGCGAUCCGAGUUCAAAUCUCGGUGGAACCUGCAACGAUCCUUCCUUGUUUUUCCCUUUAAGGCUAUUUUUAUUUUAUUUCUCAAAGGCGAAGGUCGCGUGAACGCAAGUUAUUUUCAAGUGCUCAAAACAUUUCCAAGCGAAACUCCCAUCAGCUCCGAGAUCUUUGAAUUGCUUUUAGAACUACAGCGACUGGAACGCUGAAUUUUAAGGGCUCGCCUCUUCACACAUGGGAAAGUAUGACCUGCCAACCUGAAUAGUCCUUGCGACGCACUGAGAUGGGCUGGAUCCUGUACCCUGGGCUGCAAUAAAUGCUCUUGGCGAAAAUGAUGUGAAAUCAAAUAGGAAACAUAUGAAUAAGUAUUUCCUGAAAUACACUGGGUUAGGAUGAUGCAGCCUCUUGAGUCAUGCAUCAAGAUGGGUCGUAUCCUGCACUCUGCUCUGCAAAUAACCAUCGGAAAUGAAUGCAGAUCCUGCUCUCUAAUAAAAAGCAUACCGACAAGCCAGAGUGCUUAUUAGCUCAAGUGCAAAGUGGGGAAUGCUUUGAAGCUCCAUAACCAAUCUGCAGCAAGCAACAUGUCUGACUGUUGAUGAUAGUGAUGGUUUGUCAGCAAGGUAACAGCAUAUGGCUGGAAGGGAUUUGGGAUGGUGCAAAGUCUCACCUAAGACAGGUACACAUCUGUUCCCCCAGAAAACGAAUUAUUGAGGUUUCAGGGAACCAGCGGCAGUUUCAUUGUUCCAUGGUGACACUUCUGAUAACAGAUUGUUUCAGAAGCCUGGCUCUCUUCCUAGGCAUGUUGAUGAGAUAUACACAGGCUAGGAUGGGUCAAGUAUUGAGAAUGAUGCAGACUCUUAGCAGCAGAUGUUUCAUUGUGAAGUUUGAUAGGUUUGGGGGCAGACGACAGUUCUCUGGACACCUUUGCUAAGUUACCCUCCACUUCCCCCUUGUGGGCUGGAUUGAAAGGGAAAAAGAAAGAGUUCAGUCCUAAGGAAUCCCACUUGUUCUUGUUGUCUCAGCAAAGCUUCAUAAAAAUGCUCUCUUUGCUGCAGUUUGGUUUCCCAAACCAGUUGACAAAGCAACUAUUGUUUACCAUUCCUUUGCAUGGGAGAAAUGCAGUUCAUUUCAGAUGGCUUUCAACCACCCGUCUCCAACCUUGCACCCUCCAGAUGUUUUGGACUUCAACUCCCAUCAACUCCAGCCCUGAAUGGCUGGGACUGAUGGGAGUUAUAGUCCAACAUCUAGAUGGUGCUAGGACCAGGUUGGCAAAGAUUGGUUGAAAGCCAUUUGAAAUGAACUGCGUUUCUCCCAUAUCAGUGGUUUAAAGCUCAAUAGCUUUAGGUGCAGAUAGAAUACCAUAGCUUACUCCCUUAUAUAGGUGUUAGGCUUAUAUAGUUUAUCUGUUGAACCAGUUUAACAGCUUUCUGCUUACUGUACUUGACUAAACCAAGUAUUUGGUUAGUUCUUGGCUGGCAUAAGUGUGUGAAUGCCAAUUAACAUGCAUGUUUUUGUUAUGUAAAUAGCAGUUCUUGGGAAACCUGACUAGAUUUAGGAUUAUGGGAUGGAGAGUUUGAUUCCUGCUAUCCCUGCCAAGUUCCCAGGGCAGGGAGGGGAGAUUACCUCUCUGAAGGCAUGGUUUGCUAUUGUCAACAUCAUCCUCAACACUGAGGGAAAUUGUACUUAAAAUUAAAUUACAUACAUUACACACA